RNAcentral lists this ribosomal RNA (438 nucleotides) under uncultured bacterium. RNAcentral describes it as "bacterial SSU rRNA". It matches the Rfam family "Bacterial small subunit ribosomal RNA", at positions 338 to 793 of the family's 1533-position model. The record is from RNAcentral.
CCUACGGGGGGCAGCAGUGGGGAAUAUUGCACAAUGGGGGAAACCCUGAUGCAGCAACGCCGCGUGAGUGAAGAAGUAUUUCGGUAUGUAAAGCUCUAUCAGCAGGGAAGAGAAUGACGGUACCUGACUAAGAAGCCCCGGCUAACUACGUGCCAGCAGCCGCGGUAAUACGUAGGGGGCGAGCGUUAUCCGGAUUUACUGGGUGUAAAGGGAGCGUAGACGGUUCUGCAAGUCUGAAGUGAAAGCCCGUGGCUUAACCGCGGAACGGCUUUGGAAACUGUGGAACUGGAGUGCUGGAGAGGCAAGCGGAAUUCCUAGUGUAGCGGUGAAAUGCGUAGAUAUUAGGAGGAACACCAGUGGCGAAGGCGGCUUGCUGGACAGUAACUGACGUUGAGGCUCGAAAGCGUGGGGAGCAAACAGGAUUAGAUACCCUGGUAG